Schistocerca gregaria is the source of this 9962-nucleotide long non-coding RNA. RefSeq lists it as uncharacterized. The transcript has 5 exons. Lineage: Eukaryota; Metazoa; Arthropoda; Insecta; Orthoptera; Acrididae. The record is from RefSeq and is a predicted model, not a curated record.
AUGUGACCUCUUGAUCAGUGACUGCACAGGUAGUGUGCGAGAAGCGUGUUUGAUCUGAAUCAUAUGAGACUUGCGUGUGGAGAUUUAAGUUGAGGUGCUUUGCAUAUGAUAUCUUUUGAAGAUACACACACGAUAUAUGAUGAGUAUUUCGAAAUUCUAUUGUCGCACGUGGCCUCACUGUCGUCGACUGCACAAGUAGUGUGGGAGGAGCGUGUUUGGCUGAAUCAGAUGACACUUGCGUGGGGAGAUUUUAGUCGAGGUGUCUGCAUUGUGGUUUCUUCGGCAGGGACAGACAGGAAUAUAUGGUUAGUACAUCGAAAUUAAAUUAUCUCCGGUUACCUCAUGGUCGGAGACUGCAUAGGUACUGUGGGAGGAGCGUAUUUGAUCUGAAUCAGAUGUGACUUGCGUGUGGAGAUUUAAGUGGAGGUUUUUUGGAAUCUAUUGUUAGUGCUUCGAAAUUAUAUUCUCUCCAGUUACCUUAUGCUCGGAGACUGCAUAGAUAGUGUGGGAGGAGCGUGUUUGAUCUGAAUCUUAUGUGACUUGCGUGUGGAGAUUUAAGUUGAGGUGCUUUGCAUAUGAUUUCUUUUGAAGAGACACACACGAUAUAUGAUGAGUAUUUCGAAAUUCCAUUGUCUCACAUGGCCUCACCAUCGUUGACUGCACAGGUAGUGUGGGAGGAGAGUGUUUCGCUGAAUCAGAUGAGACCCACGUGUGGAGAUUUAAGUUGAGGUGUCUUUCAUUUGAUUUUUUUUGAAGGGACAGACAGGAAUCUAUGGUUAGUACUUCGAAAUUAAAUUGUCUCCGGUUACCUCAUGGUCGGAGACUGCAUAGGUAGUUUGGGAGGAGCGUGUUUGAUGUGAAUCAGAAGAGACUUGCGUGUGGAUAUUUCAGUUAAGGUGUCACUCAUGUUUUCUUUUUUUUUGAAAAGGCAAACACAAUAUAUAAUGUGUACUUUGAAAUUCCAUUACCUCACGUGACUUCAUUGUCGGAGAGUGCGCAGGUAGUGUUGGAGAAGCGUGUUUGGCUGAAUUAAAUGAGACUUGCAUGUGAAGAUUUUAGUUGAGGUGUCUGCAUUGUGGUUUCUUUUCAAGGGCAGACAGAAAUAUAUGGUUAGUACAUCAAAAUUAAAUUAUCUGCGGUUACCUCAUGGUCAGAGACUGCACAGGUAGUGUGGCAGGAAGGUGUUUGUUCUGAAUCAGAUUAGGCUUGCGUGUGGUGAUUUACAUUGAGGUGUCUUGCAUAUGAUUUCUUUUGAAACGACAAAUACGAUAUAUGACGAGUGCUUCGAAAUUCCAUUGUGUCACGUGACCUCAUCGCCGGUGACUGCACAGGUAGUGUGCGAGAAGCCUGUUUGGUCUGAAUCAGAUGAGAGUUGAGGGUGGGGAUUUAAGUUGAGGUUUGUUGCAUGUGAUUCCUUUUGAAGGGACAGACACGAAGAUCUGGUUAGUACUUCAAAUUUAAGUUCUCUCCAUGAUCGUCGUGGUCGGUGACUGCACAGAGUGUGUGGGAGGAGCAUGUUUGAUGUGAACCAGAUGAUACUAGCGUGUGGAGAUUUAAUUUGAGGUUUCUUGCGUGAGGUUUGUUUUCAUUUGACAAACACGAAUAUGUUGUGAGUACUUCGGAAUUCCACUGUUUGCAGCUGACCUCACAGUUGCUGCCUUCACAGACAAUGUGGACAAAUCAUACUUGAUCCGAAUUUAGUCGAGGUUGGCAGGUGUAAUCGUAACUUGCGUUACUAAGCAUGUGACUUGAUUAACAGCUUCAUGAAUUUUUGUUUCGGAGUUAAAAUAUUUUAGUGUGCCAUUCAUUUAUUUCCUAUAGAUUGGAACUAGGUAAGUGCAUAAGAAAGAAAUUGCUUGUGUUGGUACUGUGUCAGAUUAAAUGUAGUUUUAUUGUUUGAGUAAUGGGGUCAAUGAAUUACAAUAUUUUGUUAUAAUAUGUGUGAAAGUUCUGUAUGACCACAUUACUGCUUUGCUGUUUCUUACUGCUUUAUACUCUUAGGGAUUUAGAGGACAUCCGGUGUAUGAUGGAACUAUACAGAUAGAUGGUAGACAGCCUGCAGUUAGUUUAAUGUCACGUGACCAUGUGAGGUUGUUAAAAUUUAAGCUCCUUCUAGAGGCUUAUGAAUAUCGUAGGUUGUUACAGUGUGCAGAUACACCACUGUGUGUAUUGAAAGCAUAAGUGUUGUGCAUUAGUGGAUACUAAUGUGGGUAAUUAGAUGUGAAACCUCAGGAUCUUCACACAUGAUAAGUUUACAGUCAGUAUAAUAAAAGUGAUAAUACUUGGCGAGCCUUAGUUGUGGCAAGAGGUGAUUUUCAUUUUGUGUAUUGUGUUAAGUGCCUGUUAAUUUUAUGGACGUUAUGAAGCUGCAACCAUAUUUAAUUUUAAAUAGCUUAACCAUAUGAGCUACAGAACUUUCUUUUAUGAUCUGUCAGAGUACAGUAACAGAAGCCAGAGUGAUCAGUAUUAAAUGUAGACUUCCAACAGUGUAAUGGUGAGUUCAUUGAAAUUGUGAACUUCAGUGUUUUGAGCAGUUUGGGGUAAAAGACAGUGCCUUUUCUUCCACCUUUAAUAGGCCAAUGGUGGUCAAUACUCAUUGAAAUACUGUGUUCUGGUUUCGUGGACAGAACAAUCACUGAUAUUCCUGAUAUUUCACAUAGGUUUGGAAAUGUAUAGCACAGUGUCUCAGAUUUCAUUUAGGUUUGGAAAUACAUAGCAAUAAGUCCAGCAGUAGUUGACACAAUCAAAAGCAAAGUUAUCACCACUUUUUCUGGGUUGAGCUCAGUAGAAACUGUGUUCUUGGACUCAACUGUUGAGGGACAAUGGAAGUGAAACAGUGUGAACAUCACAUGUCAUGUUAGACUAGUUAGUGUCGCAAUAUUGACUAUGUGUAAUAUCUUGAGCAUUUAUAAAGAAUAGUUGUAUUUGUGAGGACAGAGGUUGGGCGUGUGUUUUAACAAAGAAAAGAAAAUGUGUCAUUAUCAUCAUGUUGUGAUGUAAAACAUAGGGAGUGUUGUCUGGUGAGAUGUUAGAGGAAACUUUACUGAGGCUGCCUGUGCAGUCUCAAGCUGUUGCCAGCCUGAAUUAUCUUCUAUGCUUAGCAGAGCAGGAGUUUGGGGUCCAAAAUGUGUAUUGUUUCGCAGGUGUGGUAAGCAAUGGAUGUUUAAAUGUACUCCUGCUCCAACUUAACAGUAGUGGACUGGUCUGGGGAUCUGCCUUGCUACUUUCAUACUUCAGUACCUGCUCCACUAAUUUUGCUGUUGGUGAGGGUAUGGUAUAUUUCAUACUUAGUUCAGAUCUCACACUGAUCUGGUCCCAUUUAAGAAAUAUUGCAAGAAUGAGAGAGCAAGAUUAUAUAUAAUGUGUGUCUGUGUGUGUGUGUGUGUGUAGGAAAAUUCAGUAGGAACAAGUUGAAACAAUGCACCUCUGUCUUACACACAGUGCAUGUUUUGCAACCAGGCUUGCAAAUGCAUAAUUGAAGUUGAUAUUACAUACGAGUGAAGUGUAGAAUUAAGUUGAGGAUACUUGCGUGUGAUUUCUUUUAAACGGGUAAGCAGGUAUAAAUAAUGAUUUAAAAAUCCAUUGUUUUUGGUGAUGUUAAGGUAACUGGCUGCACAGACGGUGUGGACAGUGUGUGCUUGAUCCAAAUUCAGAUGAGUCUUGCAUGUGAUUUCUUUUGAAAAGACAAACACGAAUAUAUAAUGAGUACUUCGAAAUUCCAUUGCCUCCAGUGACCUCAUGGUCGGAGGCUGUACAGAUGGUGUAAGAGGAGCCUGUUUGAUCUGAAUCAGAUGAGGCUUGCGUGUGGAGAUUUAAGUUGAGGUUUCUUGCAUGUGAUUUCUUUUGAAGGGACUAACACGAAUAUAUGGUGAGUACUUCGAAAUUCUAUUGUGUCCACUGACCUCAUGGUCGGUGACUGCACAGAUAGUGAGGGAGGUGGGUGUUUGAUCUGAAUCAGAUGAGGCUUGCGUGUGAAGAUUUAAUUGAGGUUUCUUGCGUAUGAUUUCUUUUGAAGAGACAAAAACCAAAAUAUAGUGAGUACUACAAAAUUCCAUUUAAUUGAGGUUUCUUGCGUAUGAUUUCUUUUGAAGGGACAAAAACCAAUAUAUAGUGAGUGCUACAAAAUUCCAUUGUCUCGGGCGACCUCAUGGCCGGAGACUGUACAGAUAGUGUGGGAGGAGGUUGUUUAAUCUGAAUCAGAGAGACUUGGGUGUGGAGAUUUAAGUUGAGGUUCCUUGCAUGUGAUUUCCUUUGAAGGGACAGGCAGGAAUAUAUGGUUAGUACUUCGAAAUUCCAUUGUCUCCAGUGACCUCAUGGUCGGAGGCUGCACAGAUAGUGUGGGAGGAGCGUGUUUGAUCUGUUCAGAUGAGACUUGCGUGUGGAGAUUUAAGAUGAGAUUUAUUGCGUAUGUUUUCUUUUGAAGGGACAAACACGAUUGUAUGGCGAGUACUUCGAAAUUCCACUGUCUGUGGCAGCAUUCCUAAGCAUGUGACUUGAUUAACUGGUUCAGGAAUUUUUCUUUUGGGAUUGAAAUAUUUGACUGUGGCAUUCAUUUAUUUCCUGUAGACCAGUAGUAGGUAAGCACAUAAGAAACAAUUGGCCCUGGUUGGUACUGUAUCAGAGUAAAUGUACUUUUAUUAUUUGGGUAAUGGGGUAAUGAACUACAAAAUUUCGGGAGAAUGUGUGUGAAAGUUCUGUAUGACCACAUUUCUGUUUUGCUAUUUGUUACUGCUUCAAACUCUUAAGGAUUUUGAGGACAUCCAGUGUGUGGUGGAACUAUACAGAUAGAUGAUAGACAGCCUGCUAUUGUCUUAAUGUCACGUGAGCCAGUGAGGUUAUUAAAAUUGACGCUCCUUCUAGAGGCUUAUGAAUGUCGUAGGUUGUUACAGUGUGCAGAUACACCACUGUGUGUAUUGAAAGUGUAAGUGUUGUCCUUCAGUGGAUACCAAUGUGAGUAAUUAGAUGUGAAACCUCAGGAUCUUCACACAUAAGUUUACAGUCAGUAUAAUAAAAGUGAUAAUACUUGGCGAGCCUUAGUUGUGGCAAGAGGUAAUUUUCAUUUUGUGAAUUGUGUUAAGUGUCUGUUAAUUUUAUGGACGUUAUGAAGCUGCAACCAUAUUUAAUUUUAAAUACCUUAACCAUAUGAGCUACAGAACUUUCAUUUAUUAUCUGUCAGAGUACAGUAACAGAAGCCAGAGUGAUCAGUAUUUAAAUGGAGACUUCCAACAGUGUUAUGGUGAGUUUUUUGAAAUUGUUAACGUCAUUGGUUUGAGCAGGUUGGGGUAAAAGGCAGUUUCUUUACUUCCACUCACAAUAUGCCAAAAGCGAACAAUACACAGAGGUGUAAUGUGUUGUGGUGCAGCGGACAGAACAGUUAGUGAUGCAUCUCAGAUUUCUUAUGUUUUCGAAAAUAAAUAGCACAAAUACGAAAAGCUCGUUACUGGGUCAAAAUCAAGGUUACCAACACUUUUCCUAGAACAAGUUUAAUAGAGACAGUUUAGUGGGACCCACCUAUUGACGAACAUUGGCAGUGAAAGUGUGAACAUCACAUGACACAUUUGAAUUACACAGUGAAUGUCUACAUGAAAUAUCUUGAGCAUUUACAGAAUAUUAUUGUUUUUGUGGGGAUGCAGGCUGGGAGUGUGUUCCAUUAAAAAUGAAGUACAUCAUUCUUGAAAAUUUCUCAGGUAUUCAGCCAAGUAGCAUCAUCCAAAAGGCGCAAUAUUUCAGCAAGCUGACUUCUUGCCAUCUAAAGGAGUUCUUGGUGUUUCACCAAGAAUGCCUGAAGAUGGCAAGAAGUCGGCUUUCUGAAAUAUCGCGCCUUUUGAAUGAUGCUACCUGACUGAAUACCCGAGAAAUUUUCAAGAUUUCUGUAUACCGGGAAAACCUCAGAUCAUACAUCAUUCUUAUCAUAUUGUGACACACUGUGAAAGCAUCAGUUUUAAAAUGUCGAAGAAAACACUAGAUGUGAUGUGAUGUGAUGUGAUGUGAUUUGGUUUGCUCUUCAUGUGACAGUAUAUUGACUAGUUGUAACAGGAGACACAUUUUUUAGUCUUGUGGAAGUGUGUGAAAAAUAUUGGUUUUACCACAAGCAAGAAAACAUUGUGAAUGAAAUGUUGAUGACCCAAAUGUUUCAGUACACAAUAUAAUAUGAGUUAAUGUUAGCUUGAUGCAGAGGUACUGCCUCCUACUCUAUGAUGGACACAAAUUUAAUGUGUUGUGUAUCAGAGUAAAAAUUUCAGUGUGGUGAUUUUAAAGUGCAUUUCGUGUGGUGUGAUAGUGUGGUUACAAGCUGUGGCAGUUAAUAUGUAUUUGAGAUAAGGCUUCAAGAAUGUGAGCAGAACAUAUAGUAGCAUCUGCUAUAUACAUUUGACACUCACCUGUCAGAAGAAUGAGUGUUUUUGCACAGAGUUUGAUGUAUUGUGUUUUUGCACAGAGUUUGAUGUAUUGAAGAUCUGACAGUCAUGUUAUUGGUCAUGAGGAGCUGAAAUUGCUGUAAUUUUGUUCAGUAAUACAAUAUGCAUUGGAAGACAAUGAUGAAAACAAUUAUUGAUGUGACACAUAGUGGCAAUGAUGUGCAGUUCUUAAAAAUUAAGUGCAAGAUUUUGUCAGUGAGAUGGGGUGAUUGGGAAACAUUACUACAGUAUUUUAGCUACAGUGUAUCAUAACUGAUUAUUCAAAUUGUGAUAAUUCAGCCUGUCACCAGAUACUACAGUGUGUACACGUCCAUUCAUAUUGACUGCUGUAACUAUGCUGCCACUUGCCUUUGGUUACUGUAACAUGGUUCUCAAGUCUGAUUCCAUCUCGAUUCCCACUUACUGUGUAAUGCCAUGUUGCACACUUGCCAUGUAUGAAAGGACUUUAGGAACUUUUUGGCAUAUCACUUGUUAAUCAUGCAAGGCUUUACCCAAAAAGGCAGAUCAGCAUAUUAUUUGUGUAAUGGUUAUUUCAAAAGCAGUUUUGUUAUGCUUGUGGCUGUUGUAUUGCAUUAGUGUGCACCUUCUUUGCAUGUUUCAGGUGUGAGGCUACCUGGAGCUGACAAUGUGCAACUUUGAGGUUACCUAACAGCACUGAAUUUUAUUCAAUAUCGGCGUCGAGUUGUUGGUGCUCCUGUAAUAAAUACUGCUGUUGUUGUCAACAUUCUUAUAUUAUGUCUAUAUGAGCCAAACAAGGUGGAAUUUAAAGAGCAUAUGAGAAUACAGACCAAAUUGAGUGUCAUUUGAAAAGCAUGUAAUCUUCCACAGUAGUUUCAAAACUGCACUAAAAUAUUGUUGCAGUGUAAAAUAACAGUGACAUUAUAACAAGGAAAAUUAAUUAAACAGAAGUUUGAAGUGAUGAAAUAGCUUCACAUAUCAGAAAAUAAUGUAAUUGUGUUCAAAUUUAAGUCCUUGGCAUAAAAGAUUUUUUGAAAAAUAUGUGGAUACGAAGAAUCACAUAACAUCUCAAAUGUGGAAUUACUGGCACAUGGCAGAAAGAAAAUAAAAUAACUUGCUGUCAUGAUAAAGGCUUUUUAGGUCAUAACUUUUUUUUCCUGUGCUCGGCAAAAUCAAUGGACUUAUUCUUGACCUCAAAGAAGAUGAAUGAAAAAUGGUAAAUUGCAAACCUCAUGAUGAGAGAUGACUGUAACAGAUUGUAACUUUUAAGAAAAUUGCUACAGCCCGUGCAACACAUUUUAAUUGUAAGAAUUAAUGGAUGAAGAGAUGCUGAUUUGAGUAUUAUGUGAAAAAUUUAGGUUCAUUGGAGCACUUUUUAAGAAGAGGAAUUUGAUUACAAAAAGUUGAAGAACUGAGGUGUCCUUGAAGUUCGUAAAUCACUGUGUUUUCACAUGGCCUGUAUUUUUGGAAGGAGUAGAUGUAGUCUCUUUGAUAUUUUCUACUCUUUUAUUGCACUGCAGUUUGUUAUACUUAUUGAUGCACUCAAUGUUAGAAAGUAGUUAAUAUUCAUAUGAAUUUAUUUCCAGCAUGAAAAACAUAGCCUACUAUGGACCUGUUCACCUUACCUAAAAGAGGAAAAGGAGGAAAUGCCAUCAAGCAGGGGAUGUUGUAAAAUGAAGAUGCAGUGGGGGAGUGUCUUAGCUGUAGUUAUUGCACUACAGUAAAUGGUUUCCAAUGAACAAUGACGACAGAUGACCGGAAAAAUAUUAUUUGAAAUUCCAGAGUUCAAGGAAGUUCUGCAACAGUUCCCCAUUGCACAGUAACGUGUGGUAUACAUAUAUGAGGCAUGUGCUAGAAUUCUGAAAACGGAACACAUAGUGGAAUUGAUAACCUUGAUGUGGACGAUGCUGGAAGCCGAAGUGAAGAAACCAUCCCUGUAGCUCCUCACAUACCUGGUAACGAGUAUCCUAUCACUGGGAGAAGAUGAUGGAGCUUUGUUAAUGUGCUAGAAUAUAACCAUGAAUUGUUUGACAAAAUACGAACUGACUUUCUACUCAUGUUCCUACGGUUUACAGGAUUUAUUAAGUUAUGUGAGGUCUCUACCAGGUGGUACUACUGUGACGUCAGUGUCACAGAAAGACCGGGUGAUGCUGACAUCUUGAAUAGCAAACUUACUGAGUUCUCAAAGAGAUAUCCUGGAGAAGUUCUCUUCUGGAGAGAAGACAGAGACCACUUCCACGUCAUUCAUGACUGUGUCUAUUCCUCGAGGAGAUGCAGAUGUUGGUUCCAAAAUGAUGCAUUUAUUUCCUCCAGAAUUGAGAAGCUCCACAGACGGAAUAGAGCAAUUGCAGCAAUGUCGGAUAUCGACUGGCUCAAUGUACUGUUACCUCUAUGUGCAAAAGGGGUAUGGCCGCAGAAAAAUUUGGAUUAGAGGAGCCAUUAAAAGACUACCUUAUCCAGUUGAAAUUGUAUGAUGGGAAAGUUGCCUCUCAGGAUACCAAACAAUACUGGAAGGGGAAAGUAGUCGAUCUGAUGGUGACAGCGAACAGAGGCAUGCAAAUAAUGCACUAUGUAAACAGUCUUAUUUGAGAUGCAAACAGAUCAUUACAGGAAAAGGGUGCAACCCGACAACAAUAACGUGCCAGGUUCUUUCCGUACUAAUUCAGUACAGUUCUAUACCACCUGAGAACAUUACAAAUGUGCUUCCAAUUGAUCAUGGUUACUUCAUGAAUUUUAUUGAUCCUAAAUUUAAAAGAUUUUUCGAUAUGGGGUUAGAGUUAUACAAGAAAACCAUUAACGAUUUAGAUCUUAGGGGAAUUGAAUCACUUUUAUGUUCUGGAUCACAGGAUAGUAUAUUUUAUGCUACCUCUAACAAUGUAUGGGAAUGUUGUCAUACUUUGGGCGAUUCUUUAACCUGGUUAAACAAAAUUCUAUUAUUCCAAUGUGAAGAUGACAACGAUAAAGCUACAGAAUUUUUGUUAAAUUUAGUUUCAUGGUUCAAUAAGAAUGGAUAGUAUUAUUGGAAUAAUGAUAAUUAUGUACAGUCAAAAAAGUUAAACACUUUGUGUAUUGUGGGUCCUCCAAAUAGUGGUAAAAAUUGGUUCUUUGAUUGCUUUGUAUCUUUCGCUCUUAAUGUUCGUCAUAUAGGUAGAUGUAAUAACAAAACAAAUCAAUUCCCAAUGCAAGAUACUGUUAAUAGAAGAUUAAUUGUUGGCAAUGAAAUUAGUAUUGAAGAAGGAGCCUUAGAAGAUUUUAAAAAAGUGUGCGAGGGGAUUUCUUGUAACAUUGGAGUGAAGUAUAAAGGCGAUGCAAUUUUAAGGAGGACACCACUUUUAUUAAUUUCAAACAGUCAACCUGUAGUUUGCAGCCACACUGAUUUUAAGGAUAUUCGUGUGAAAACUGUAAGGGGGCGUAGAUUUGAAGAUUUGAAAAAUGCAACAGAAAAAGCCUUAUCCCUUAGCUUUUCUCAGCUUAUUACAAAUGUAUAAUGUGGAAUAUUAAAUGAAAACCAAUUGUAAUUGUGAAAUAGAUAUAUUUUCAAUAACUUGUUUACAAAGGUAAAUAAAAUAUUACAUUAUACAAAAUAAA